RNAcentral lists this long non-coding RNA (863 nucleotides) under Pan troglodytes (chimpanzee). Its description in RNAcentral is "long non-coding RNA NONPTRT008371". Lineage: Eukaryota; Metazoa; Chordata; Mammalia; Primates; Hominidae. The record is from RNAcentral.
AUACCACAGCCAACAAUUCCCCAUAGGGUACUGCUGAACAGGAACUUUAGCUUUUGGUUUUGAAAAAGGUCCUUCUGAGGCAGUGAGUCUGACUAUGACACCUCUGUUGUUUCUUCCUUUCAGCAAGUUUCAUCAAACGACGGCCUCCUAAUUAGGUAUUGGGCUUUUGACAGGAGGGAACAGCUUGUUCUGAACUUUGUAAACAUAUAUACAUACCUGCCACCUUGCCCAGCUAACCUAUAUAUUUAUGAAGACAAAACUGUCAUAAGCUCUUAGUGGAGGUGUUGUCUCUAACCAGAGUAUUUCCAACUCUAUGUCCUAGGUCUCUGAAUGAGGGCUCUGCUAAGCUGAAUCCAAAGCUUUCUGCUCUUGCAUUUAUUUCUGAAUGCUGUCAGACUGAGAAUGACACCUUUGAAACCCAAACAGAGACUGGGCACAGUGGCUCAUACCUGUAAUCCCAGCACUUUGGGAAGCCCAGUGUCAGGCCUCUGAGCCAAAGCUCAGCCAUUAUAACCCCUGUGACCUGCACAUAUACAUCCAGGUGGCCUCAGGAGCCAAGAAGUUUGGAGCAGCCAAAAAACCACAAAGAAGUAAAACAGCCAGUUCCUGCCUUAACUCAUUAACCAACGUUACAACAUUUUACCACUGUGACUUGUCCCUGCCCUACCUUAGCUGAUCAAUCAACUUUGUGACAUUCUUCUUCUGGACAAUGAGUCUUAUGAUCUCCCCACAACAUACCUUGUGACCCCCUCCGCUAACAAUAGAUAACCACCUUUUACUCUAAUUUUCCAUUACCUACCCAACUCCUAUAAAGCAACCCCUUCCCCAUUUCCCUUUGCUGACUGUCUUUUUGGACUCAGCCC